GAUGAACGCUGACAGAAUGCUUAACACAUGCAAGUCUUUGGCGAAGCUGUGCUUGCACAGCCUAGCCAAGGCGGACGGGUGAGUAACGCGUCAGGAACUUGCCCUGCAGUCAGGGAUAACAGACGGAAACGACUGAUAAGACCUGGUAAAGUCAGGCGGACUCAUGUCCAGCCUGAUGAAAAGAGAUGCUGCAGGAGAGCCUUGCGUCCUAUUAGCUUGUUGGUGGGGUAACGGCCCACCAAGGCGAUGAUAGGUAGCCGGCCUGAGAGGGUGGACGGCCACAAGGGGACUGAGAUACGGCCCUUACUCCUACGGGAGGCAGCGGUGGGGAAUAUUGGACAAAGGGGGCAACCCUGAUCCAGCAAUUCUGUGUGCACGAUGAAGGUUUUCGGAAUGUAAAGUGGUUUCAGCAGGGAAGAAAAAAAUGACGGUACCUGCAGAAGAAGCGACGGCUAAAUACGUG
This 463-nucleotide ribosomal RNA is filed under the name uncultured bacterium. RNAcentral describes it as "partial 16S ribosomal RNA". It matches the Rfam family "Bacterial small subunit ribosomal RNA", at positions 28 to 507 of the family's 1533-position model. The record is from RNAcentral.